RNAcentral lists this long non-coding RNA (71 nucleotides) under Chinchilla lanigera (long-tailed chinchilla). RNAcentral's name for it is "FTX transcript, XIST regulator conserved region 1 (ENSCLAG00000018846.1)". It matches the Rfam family "FTX transcript, XIST regulator conserved region 1". Lineage: Eukaryota; Metazoa; Chordata; Mammalia; Rodentia; Chinchillidae. The record is from RNAcentral.
AGUGAAAUACCUGUUCCUUUGUCCAGAUCACCUUUCAAGAUAGCAAUUGAAGGAUUAAUUCCUCUAAGUCC